AUUGAACGCUGGCGGCAUGCUUUACACAUGCAAGUCGAACGGCAGCGCGGGCUUCGGCCUGGCGGCGAGUGGCGAACGGGUGAGUAAUACAUCGGAACGUGCCCAGUAGUGGGGGAUAGCUCGGCGAAAGCCGGAUUAAUACCGCAUACGACCUGAGGGUGAAAGCGGGGGAUCUUCGGACCUCGCGCUAUUGGAGCGGCCGAUGGCAGAUUAGCCAGUUGGUGGGGUAAAGGCCUACCAAGGCGACGAUCUGUAGCUGGUCUGAGAGGACGACGAGCCACACUGGGACUGAGACACGGCCCAGACUCCUACGGGAGGCAGCAGUGGGGAAUUUUGGACAAGGGGCGAAAGCCUGAUCCAGCAAUGCCGCGUGUGUGAUGAAGGCCUUCGGGUUGUAAAGCACUUUUGGCGGGAACGAAAAGGACUGUGCCAAUACCACGGUUCGAUGACGGUACCCGCAGAAUAAGCACCGGCUAACUACGUGCCAGCAGCCGCGGUAA
RNAcentral lists this ribosomal RNA (500 nucleotides) under uncultured bacterium. RNAcentral describes it as "partial 16S ribosomal RNA". It matches the Rfam family "Bacterial small subunit ribosomal RNA", at positions 29 to 523 of the family's 1533-position model. The record is from RNAcentral.